CCCACCAAUUCCUCACAUCCGAUCAAGGCACCCCGCCGCCCCCGCCUUCCUCUCCCUCAUCUCUUCUUUCUCCUAGAUCCGAUCGAAGCACCGCCGACCUCUCCACCAUCUCCUUCCCGUCCCCCAUCGCGCCGCCAUCCACCUCGUUGCCUCCCAUCUCCUCCCGCCCCCUCCCUCCCCCACCUUCCCCUUUUGCCCCUCCUUCCUGGACCCCGAGGGCGCCCGCAUCGGCUCUGGCGCCACCACGCUCCACGCCGUCGCCUCCCUCGCCCGCCACCUCGUCUCCCAGGCCACCAAGGAAGAGAUCACCGAAUUCCUCCCCGAAGCGACCGGAUCCUCCGCAUCCGUGGUGUGCUUCAUGGCCACCAAGCACGUGUUGCUGCUGCACGCUGGCGGCGAUAGCAAGAGGGUUCCGUUGGCGAACCCCAUGGGGAUGGCCUUCCUGCCGGUGCCUUACCUGGCCGGGGCAACCCCGACGGGCCUGUCCCGCUGCUCUUCGACCACAUCAGGGGGGUCCAACGCAAGGCAAUCAUUCAAGACCGGCAUCGGCAAGUCCAACCUGCCCUCCCGCUUCACCCGCAACGAGUUCAGCCUCGAGUCCAAGUCCACCAUCAGGGGGGUCGAGUUCGCCACCCGCUCCCUCUAGGUCGACGGCAAGGUCGUCAAGGCCCAGAUUUGGGACACCGCCGGCUCUUCCUAUCCCCGUCUGUUCGGCAGCAGUUGUGGAGACCAUGGAUGGGACUAUCUCAGAAGCACCAUUUUGCCUUUUUCAGUUAGAUGCCUUUGGAUUGCUUGGCAUCAGACCCUGUUCAAGGAGAUUUGCUUUUGGUAGAUGCAGAGUAUAGAUUAAUUAUUCCAUAAAAUUCACCACAUGAGUAUACUACUUAAUAGCCAAUUUCCAUGGUCAAAUUCAGCCCUUGAUGCAAAUGGACAUCAUGAUUCUGUUAUGCGCCGAGGUCGGUGGUUGAAUUCUUGAUUGGUGUGGAACACAAUGGACAGGGCAAAAUCAGUGUGCUUUGAAACGUAGGGCGAAUCUUGUGGAGGAGUAGGGCGAAUCGGACAUUGUCUCGCUUGUGCCGCUCUGAUAACAUGCUGAAUGUUGUUCAUGCGACUGUGUAUGAAUCUUCUGUACGUGCAGAUUAUCAGGCAUUUUUAAUGCUGCUGAGAGUGUAACAGAGUGUUUCAACCAACAGCAGAAAAAUCAGUUUGAUGUAUGGAUGCUUCAUGCGGUGGUAGCUAAUGAUCUCUGUACUGAUGACAAUUUUGUGAUCGGGAUAUAAUGUCGUCGAGGUGGCUGCUGCUCUUACCGAAGAUCAGAAGAAGCUUAGAUAUGUGCACCAAGUUUUAGUUGAUGUUGCCACCAAGUUUUGGUGCAUGUGUAUUUGUUUUUUGAUUGUAUGUACACUUGUUGGAUCGUCCAGUAUGUGCUAUUGUACAUGUGCU
Long non-coding RNA from Triticum dicoccoides, 1443 nucleotides. RefSeq lists it as uncharacterized. The record is from RefSeq and is a predicted model, not a curated record. Lineage: Eukaryota; Viridiplantae; Streptophyta; Magnoliopsida; Poales; Poaceae. The transcript is spliced from 7 exons.